AGUGGUAUAGCUCAGUGGUAGAGUGUGUGCUUAACAUGUACAGUGUCCUGGGUACAAUCCCUAUUACCUCCA
RNAcentral lists this transfer RNA (72 nucleotides) under Camelus bactrianus (Bactrian camel). It matches the Rfam family "tRNA". Rfam says of the family: Transfer RNA (tRNA) molecules are approximately 80 nucleotides in length. The record is from Rfam by way of RNAcentral. RNAcentral also lists the same sequence under 1 other name. Lineage: Eukaryota; Metazoa; Chordata; Mammalia; Artiodactyla; Camelidae.